AACGAACGCUGGCGGCAUGCCUAACACAUGCAAGUCGAACGAGACCUUCGGGUCUAGUGGCGCACGGGUUCGUAACGCGUGGGAACCUGCCCUUAGGUUCGGAAUACCUCCCCGAAAGGGGUGCUAAUACCGGAUCAUGUCUUCGGACCAAAGAUUUAUCGCCUUUGGUUGGGCCCGCGUUGGAUUCGCUAGUUGGUAGGGUAAAAGCAUACCAAGGCGACGAUCCAUAGCUGGUAUGAGAGGAUGAUCAGCCACACUGGGACUGAGACACGGCCCAGACUCCUACGGGAGGGAGCAGUGGGGAAUAGUGGAACAUGGGCGGAAGCCUGAUCCAGCAAUGCCGCGUGAGUGAUGAAGGCCUUAGGGUUGUAAAGCGCUUUUACCCGGGAUGAUAAUGACAGUACCGGGAGAAUAAGCUCCGGCUAACUCCGUG
This 433-nucleotide ribosomal RNA is filed under the name uncultured bacterium. RNAcentral describes it as "partial 16S ribosomal RNA". It matches the Rfam family "Bacterial small subunit ribosomal RNA", at positions 29 to 507 of the family's 1533-position model. The record is from RNAcentral.